RNAcentral lists this long non-coding RNA (393 nucleotides) under Fukomys damarensis (Damara mole-rat). RNAcentral's name for it is "lncRNA (ENSFDAG00000025211.1)". Lineage: Eukaryota; Metazoa; Chordata; Mammalia; Rodentia; Bathyergidae. The record is from RNAcentral.
CUUAAUCACACAUCUUGUUUUCCUCAGAGUCCAAUCCACUUUUCUGGUACACUAAUUUGGAUCUAUCAUAAAGUCACUCUUUUGAAAGAGUCUCCAUCCAACAGAUAUAGGGGUGAGGAGGAGUGCUCUGCACUGACCCAGGUUCUUCUUUUUCCCUUCCUUUAGAAGGGAAGCAGCAUGGCAGUGCCAGGUCUUGGACACACAGUCAGGAGCAGAAUCCAAGACAAUCCCGACCACAGGAGACUGUGGAGGAGAGAAGUGGGGACACUGUGCACCUCAGUAUGCGAACAUGGUGCACUGCAGUGGCUCCGUGAGAUGCCCAAACCAGAAAGGCCUGAUACUACUUCUGCUGCUCUCUGCACAUGGGCCUCUGCACGGCGCAAUACUACCUGA